AACGUAGGAGACAAACGUUAUCCGGAGUUACUGGGCGUAAAGGGCGUGUAGGUGGUUUCGUAAGUCUGGCGUGAAAUAUCUCGGCUUAACCGAGGCAGGUCGUCGGAUACUGCGGGACUAGAGGACGGUAGAGGCGUGUGGAAUUCCGGGUGUAGUGGUGAAAUGCGUAGAUAUCUGGAGGAACACCGGUGGCGAAGGCGGCAUCCUGGACCAACACUGACACUGAGGAGCGAAAGCCAGGGGAGCAAACGGG
This 253-nucleotide ribosomal RNA is filed under the name uncultured bacterium. RNAcentral's name for it is "partial 16S ribosomal RNA". It matches the Rfam family "Bacterial small subunit ribosomal RNA", at positions 524 to 776 of the family's 1533-position model. The record is from RNAcentral.